UUUAGCACUCUACACAGUUAGCUGGAGCUUUUAGUGAUUCCGGAGUUUUGUUGAUUCCUCCGGAUUUUCUUUUGGAGGGGAAUCUGCUACGUGUGUGUACAUGUGUGUUGCAAGAGAAGCCUCAAUCAUGAGCAGAAAGUAAUGGUAUAACUACCUGGCUAGUAUUAGAGGAGGCGAGAUUUGGUGAGUCCAUGCUCAUGUAGGUGCCUAUAUGCUCAAGACUUUUGAUCACAUAGGCAAGUUGAGCAAGGUGUGUCCUGAAUGCCUGGGUUGAAUUUCUUGAAAGUGAAGUCAGCAGAAAAAUCGCUACUGCAUCUACCAAGUGAUUAACGACAUAUUUCUACUUACUAUCAUGGAAGGGUUAGAGUUGGUCUAGUAAAAUUUAAUAUAUUAAUCUGAAAUACAUAUUCACUCACUCGAUAUCUAUGGAAAGUGAAGACAUCAACACUCUUUCCAUAUGCUUUGUUUCUAUAUACUUCAGGACAGGUGUCAUGCAUGGAUCUUCAAGUACGAAAACUAUGCGAAGAACUAAUGUCAUUUAUGGCAAAAAAAGAAAAACAAAAGCUUUUCGUAGUCUAAAAAUCAUUUCUAAUGUUCUGUAAGUAAGUUAGAUGCACAACUUCCUGAAGUUUGAAUCAUUUUUCUUUCAGUUUAGCAUUGAAGCUUUAAUGAAUCGCCAAGAUAGCAUUGAAGGUUCAAUGAAUCGCCAAAUAAAAAUUGUGGUUAGGAGAAAAAGAUGGUUACAUGUCCGGUGGGUAAUACGGGCACAAAUCUAGUCAAAUGUUUAAACAAUUUAGAAAUUAAAUCAACGGAAAAGUCAUUUACAUA
Papaver somniferum (opium poppy) is the source of this 828-nucleotide long non-coding RNA. RefSeq lists it as uncharacterized. NCBI's taxonomy places the organism in Eukaryota, Viridiplantae, Streptophyta, Magnoliopsida, Ranunculales, Papaveraceae. The transcript has 2 exons. The record is from RefSeq and is a predicted model, not a curated record.